UCCCGCAUGCUUCACUAGACAUAGACAUUUCACUGCAGGACAAUCACACCAAUAGGUUGCACCUAACGCACAAGGACCCAAAAUGGCUUGGGUACCAAAAUCUCAUUAAUAGUGGAUGCUCCAAACAUAUGACCGGGGAUGCAUCAAAAUUCCUUCAACUAAAACCCACGGAAGGAGGAAAUGUUAUUUUUGGAGACAAUAACAAAGUCUUUGGUACCUUGAUAGUGGAUGCUCCAAACAUAUGACCGGGGAUGCAUCAAAAUUCCUUCAACUAAAACCCACGGAAGGAGG
This 291-nucleotide long non-coding RNA is filed under the name Nicotiana benthamiana. RNAcentral describes it as "long non-coding RNA (NBEN_LNC007828)". Lineage: Eukaryota; Viridiplantae; Streptophyta; Magnoliopsida; Solanales; Solanaceae. The record is from RNAcentral.